RNAcentral lists this ribosomal RNA (253 nucleotides) under uncultured bacterium. Its description in RNAcentral is "partial 16S ribosomal RNA". It matches the Rfam family "Bacterial small subunit ribosomal RNA", at positions 524 to 776 of the family's 1533-position model. The record is from RNAcentral.
UACAGAGGGUGCAAGCGUUAAUCGGAAUUACUGGGCGUAAAGCGCACGUAGGCGGACUGAUCAGUUGGGGGUGAAAGCCCAGGGCUCAACCCUGGAACUGCCUUCAAUACUGUCAGUCUUGAGUCCGAGAGAGGUGAGUGGAAUUUCCAGUGUAGAGGUGAAAUUCGUAGAUAUUGGAAAGAACACCAGUGGCGAAGGCGGCUCACUGGCUCGGUACUGACGCUGAGGUGCGAAAGUGUGGGGAGCAAACAGG